AUGGAACUCCUAUAAAUACUGCUUGGUAUAAUUUCAGGUGAAUGAACUGUACAAACUGUUGAAACAAAUCGACGGUAUAUCACAUUCCGAGAUAUUGGAGCGCAUGGAGGCACUCGAAGCACUGCAUAACCAAGCGAGCAACUUCGGUAAAUCUCUAACUGAGCUAGAGACCCUUCAGACUACAAUAGCCAGUGGUGUGCAGAACAACAAGGAGCUGUUGCAAGGUGUCCAAGGAGUUUUCGCACAUAACCUUGACAGUCUUCGUAAAGAGAUUAAAAAGUUAGACGAUAGGAUUGGAAAACUGGUGGCGGCGUGAUAAACUAACAUAAUUAUGAUGUUUUAAAAUCGAUUGUUUAGCGCAAAUUAUUUGUUUAAACUAAUUAUAUAUACUAUAGUUAGUAAUAUUUUUCAUCAGAUAUUACAAGCCUGCUUUCGAGUUGUAAGUGCGUAAAUUUUUAUACGAAUUGCCAUUUAAAUUGAAUAAUCUUUAUUUUAACCAUAGUAAGUAGUUUAGUAAGAGAAUAUAAAUGCUUUCAUUUGAACCAGUUAUAUUUAACUAAUAAAAAAGAUAUUUACCUCUCUUUUGACUUAUCAUUUGAAACAAAAAUCCUCAGUUUUAACAAUUUACUCAUUAGAUAUUAUGUUAAACAAUCGAUUUUAAAACUCAUGUAGCUUAAAAGUUUUAAUAAGACACCAUCAAUGCUCUCGAAUUAUUCAAUGGAAAAUAAUUAUGCAAUUAAAUUGAGAUUUUAUGUUAUAUUCCUACAGUUAUUUGCUUAUUAAAAUACAACUGUUACCGUUAAAAUAGAAUUUUGAUUGUAAGUUGAGAUUGUUGGAGACCUAACUCCUAAUUAAUGCUUUUACAAUAUAAGGCUGCACGUAAUUAUCAGGUGCUUGAUUAUUUACCAUACUAAUUAAAAAAAACAGUGAUUAUUGUGCCUGUGUACUGUACCCUGUUUGUAAAGUACUAUUGUACCAAUGUCAUUUAGUUUGAACUAGAGUCGAAUUUACCUUAGUUGUAUCAAAAUCUGUUUAAGUACCCACACAAUUCAAUUUUGCACGUCAUUUGAUUUCAUUAUAAUUCGUCUUCUGAGUUAGCAAAGUAAUCUUAAUUCUAACAGCAUAUUAUUUUGCAGUUACUGAUGAGCCAGUUAUUAUUUCGACAUUGUCACUUUUUUACACAUUAAGUAUUCCAAUGUUACAUUUAUUUUAAACUCGUGUAUCGUACUUUAUAAGAAUACUGCUUAAGAGAUAUAAUUUAUUAAAUAAAUCGAUUAUGUAGCUAA
Long non-coding RNA from Trichoplusia ni (cabbage looper), 1286 nucleotides. RefSeq lists it as uncharacterized. The record is from RefSeq and is a predicted model, not a curated record. Lineage: Eukaryota; Metazoa; Arthropoda; Insecta; Lepidoptera; Noctuidae. The transcript has 2 exons.